This 522-nucleotide ribosomal RNA is filed under the name uncultured bacterium. Its description in RNAcentral is "bacterial SSU rRNA". It matches the Rfam family "Bacterial small subunit ribosomal RNA", at positions 28 to 524 of the family's 1533-position model. The record is from RNAcentral.
GACGAACGCUGGCGGCGUGCCUAAUACAUGCAAGUCGAACGCUUCUCCGAAAGAUGCUUGCAUCUUUCAUAUGAGAAGAGUGGCGGACGGGUGAGUAACACGUGGGUAACCUGCCCUUUAGCGGGGGAUAACAUUUGGAAACAGAUGCUAAUACCGCAUAAUUGGUUUUGCCGCAUGGCAGAACUAUGAAAGACGCUUUACGGUGUCACUAAAGGAUGGACCCGCGCUGCAUUAGUUAGUUGGUGAGGUAAUGGCUCACCAAGACCGUGAUGCAUAGCCGACCUGAGAGGGUGAUCGGCCACACUGGGACUGAGACACGGCCCAGACUCCUACGGGAGGCAGCAGUAGGGAAUCUUCGGCAAUGGACGAAAGUCUGACCGAGCAACGCCGCGUGAGUGAAGAAGGUUUUCGGAUCGUAAAACUCUGUUGUUAGAGAAGAACAAGUGGGAGAGUAACUGUUCCCACCUUGACGGUAUCUAACCAGAAAGCCACGGCUAACUACGUGCCAGCAGCCGCGGUAAU